This is a long non-coding RNA of Strigops habroptila (Kakapo), 2545 nucleotides long. Lineage: Eukaryota; Metazoa; Chordata; Aves; Psittaciformes; Psittacidae. The record is from Ensembl.
UUUCUUUUUUUUCCUGAAAUACAGAUCUAAAUAUUGCAUUCAUUUCAUUUAUCCCAAACCUUGUCAAAGAGGAUUCUGAUUAGAAAAUGAGAAAUAGUCUAUUACAAUGAAUAAACAUUCAAUAUCUCUCUGUUGCACCAUUCAAAACAUCUAUAAAUACAUAGAUAAUUUUUCCUUUUUUUCUAGCACUUUUUCCAUCCCUGAUCUGUAUUUAUUCAUGGCAUACACCAAAAGCCUUCCACUGGUAAUAACAAGCUUCACUGACAUGCAAUUUUUACAGCUGUUACAAACAAAAAACCCCCAAAUUCUGGUGUCCAUUUAUAUAAUAAAUUCCCAAAUGUGUAACUUUUGAGUGCUUAUACAUAAAUCUGUGUUCUUAAACGCAGAUUUAAAACAAAGGUGUAAUUUAUGUAGCAUGAUACUAAUCUUCAUCCCUGCAGCAGCACCAUUAAAUAGAGAUACUUCAUAGGAGCAAGAACAGAGUAUUUUGGACACAAAGUGAAAAACAAGAGAAAACUGGAAGAGAAAAGUAGGUCAAGAAGAGUGACUUUCUUUUUAUAUUAUUUCUACCGUGUCCACAUGUCAGUGUGGCGUUGCCAGCUUCCCACAGAAAGCAAGCAAAAGCCAAAAAGUAGGAGCAAACCUGAAAGCUAGUUUCAGGCUUCAUCGCUGAACUUCCUGGCUUCUGUGAGGUCAUGUCAAUACCUAAGUAGUAAUUCCGAUCUAUAUAAGCUAAAAUCUUAUGGUUUAAUAAUGCUUUCAAAUGUUGGAUUUUUAGAAUAAUCAUAUCACUAUAAGUGUCUCUAUAUUUUCCAGAACUGGUAAGUUCUUUUUGCAUCUUAAAAUAUACAUUGGAAUGUGAUGCUCUCUAAAAACAUCCUGUCUUAAAUUAUGGCACAUUAACCUGGAAAAUGCUUUUUUCUGGAUUACUCAAAUCUAGAUUACUCAAAAAUCUUUUUUUCUACACAGCAAAAGGAAUGGUUAUUAGCAAAAGAAGUGAAAUUUUUAUUUCAAUUUCACAUGUGGACAUCCUUCCAGUGCAUACUGAGAUUACAGCUGAUUUCAGCAUCAGAUGCAUUGAACUUGUGCAGCAUCUUCUCUGAUGUUACUGAGACUGCAAUUAUUAUAUUUUUUUUCUGCUACUUGGAAGAAGUAAAAUCACAUGUAUCCCAGCUGGUACAAAAUACUAAACCAUAGAUAACAAAUAUACACCAAGGAAGAGGAUAGAAGGAUUUUUUUAAACUCAUGUAUGACUGGGCAUUACGGUGUUCUUUUCCAGGAAGAAAUGUUAUGCUGCUCACAACAAAUCAACAGUCUUCUAAAUACCAUCUACCCACCAGCACAUUCCAGAUUAUUCUCCUUUUAUACUCCUCAUCUAACAAAACCUAAAAACCAAGCAAGAAUAUAUUUUGUUUCACUGCUUCAGUAGCAAGAUGGACGAAGAGCUUUACCAGUCUCAUCAGUGUCUAGUUCCUCUCGCACAUGAGAUUUAUAUUUCUCAGUGUCAGUGUCCUUAGAAGAAGAGUGAACACAGCAUUCAGAAUCAUUAGUCAUCUUUCAUGCUCUGGAGGUCCUUCUCAACCAAUUUAGUAAAGAACAAUGCUGUGCAAAAGAGACAGGAUGGCUGCUAAUGACAGGCAACAGUUCAAUAUUUUAUGCCACCUCAAAAAAGUUUCAGUAACUGAAGGUGUUCUCACAUUAAUUCUUUGCAUCAAUUAUUGACAGAGAAUUUAAUUUAAAGGCAACUAGUCAGUAACCUAGGGGUACUGUUUUAAAUAAUUUAUAAUUGCUGCAUGGGUGUAAUCAUAUUGCUAUUGAUUAAGAUCCAGUCACUUCUACCAGUCCAGCAUGUCUUAUGCUAAUUAAUUUUAGUGAUAUCACCUUUUUAACUCUGUAUUCCCUGGUAACAGGAACUCAUUAUUAAAAAAUAAUUUAAUCAGGAGCAAUCUUUUAAAGUUUAUUUGAUUAGUACUUGCUAGGCCAUUGAAAAAGUUAAAAGAAAGUUAAUACAAGGAUAAAAGUCCAGCAUGGGCAUGAAUAAACUGGAACACUAGGAGGAGGUAAUAAAAAAAGUACUAAAGGGGGUCUAUACCUGAUCUUUUGGAGUCUUUCCAUUGAGAUUAGGGUGCUGGAUGGAAGCAUGGGUAGACUAGACAUCAUAUAUACGUUCAGUAUCACCAAGGACACAGGUCAGGGACUAAGAAGACAAUGAGUAUAAUCGUAUCUACUGAAGUCAAAAUAUUUAGCCUAUAAGUAAAAUGACAAACCCUGUAAUUUGAACUUGACACAUGCUAGGAACAAACAUCCACAAACUAAUGCCACAAAGGACAUGAAAUCUUCGUCCCUGAAGACACCAUUAUGUAAAUUAAAUUGAAUCUAGUCCACUUUGAGGUUUGCAAUCAAAUGGGUAUUUUUAAUAUCAAUAAAAAUUGAGCUUUCCCCAGAGAAUCCAAAUCAAGCUGCUUUCGCAGAACAAAAGGAAAAUGCUGAAACAUAUAUGCUUUUAAGAUAACUCAAUGAAUGUAAAACUGUUAGCAAAAUCAGU